Non-coding RNA from Myodes glareolus (Bank vole), 379 nucleotides. Lineage: Eukaryota; Metazoa; Chordata; Mammalia; Rodentia; Cricetidae. The record is from RefSeq and is a predicted model, not a curated record.
CCACUUCUGUCUCUGAUCAGGUUCCAGCCCUGAAUUUGAUCCCCGGUACCACAUACAAACCUGCUCUGCUUCACCUACCAGAACUGAAGGAGAACAGGUACUCAGGACUGCCCUGCCUGCCACUGCCGCCCAGUGCCUUGCCCAGUGAGACACAUGUGAUGCUGAAAACAGCACAGAAAUUUUGCUUUGAAUACCUAAAAGUUGUGACCGUUCAGUGUGUCAAGCACCCCGAUAUCCAGUCUCUUCCGGCUCAUGUUAUGUACAUUAUUUACAUACCAGGGGAAAGUCUAGCAUCUCAACCUGGAAGGAGACAAAAACUUGCAAAUGGGAGCAUUCUAUGAGCGGAAUGAGAAGAAACCAACCGUCAAAACAGAUUAAA